GCUCUGAUAGCUUAGUGGAAAGCAUUGGUCUUGUAAACCAAAGAUUGUGAAAUAAUGUCUCACUCAAAGCU
This 71-nucleotide transfer RNA is filed under the name Mantella bernhardi. RNAcentral's name for it is "tRNA-Thr". It matches the Rfam family "tRNA". Rfam says of the family: Transfer RNA (tRNA) molecules are approximately 80 nucleotides in length. Their secondary structure includes four short double-helical elements and three loops (D, anti-codon, and T loops). The record is from RNAcentral. Lineage: Eukaryota; Metazoa; Chordata; Amphibia; Anura; Mantellidae.